Molecule: unclassified non-coding RNA, 375 nt
Filed under: uncultured bacterium
Lineage: Bacteria
Description: contains 16S-23S intergenic spacer region
Source: RNAcentral
UCUCCGUUAUCCGGAGCAGUCCUCUUAGAGUUCCCCCUUGCGGGUGGCAACUAAGAGUAAGGGUUGCGCUCGUUGCGGGACUUAACCCAACACCUCACGACACGAGCUGACGACAGCCAUGCACCACCUGUGCACGAGCCCCGAAGGGCUGCCGUAUUUCUACGACAUUCCUGUGCAUGUCAAGCCUCGGUAAGGUUCUUCGCGUUGCGUCGAAUUGAACCACAUGCUCCGCUGCUUGUGCGGGCCCCCGUCAAUUCCUUUGAGUUUUAGCCUUGCGGCCGUACUCCCCAGGCAGGGCACUUAAUGCGUUAGCUGCGGCACCGGAGGGGUCGAUACCCCCGACACCUAGUGCCCACCGUUUACGGCGUGGACUAC